Molecule: ribosomal RNA, 460 nt
Filed under: uncultured bacterium
Lineage: Bacteria
Description: partial 16S ribosomal RNA
Rfam family: Bacterial small subunit ribosomal RNA
Source: RNAcentral
UCUACGGGUGGCAGCAGUGAGGAAUAUUGGUCAAUGGCCGUAAGGCUGAACCAGCCAAGUAGCGUGAGGGAAGACUGCCCUAUGGGUUGUAAACCUCUCUUAUGCGGGGAUAAAGGUGUCCACGUGCGGAUGUUUGCAGGUACCGCAUGAAUAAGGACCGGCUAGUUCCGUGACAGCAGCAGCGGUAAUACGGAAGGUCCGGGCGUUAGCCGGAUUUAUUGGGUGUAACGGGAGCGUAGGCCGGUCUUUAAGCGGGCCGUGAAAUUGUGUGGCUCAACCAUGAGAGUGCGGCGCGAACUGGAGACCUUGAGUGCGCGGAAGGCAGACGGAAUUCGUGGUGUAGCGGUGAAAUGCUUAGAUAUCACGAAGAACCCCGAUUGCGAAGGCAGCCUGCCGCAGCGUUACUGACGCUGAAGCUCGAAAGCGCGGGUAUCGAACAGGAUUAGAUACCCUUGUAGUC